RNAcentral lists this long non-coding RNA (586 nucleotides) under Homo sapiens (human). Its description in RNAcentral is "non-protein coding lnc-NFKBIA-8:1". The record is from RNAcentral. Lineage: Eukaryota; Metazoa; Chordata; Mammalia; Primates; Hominidae.
UCGGAUUCUUUCAGCGCUUUCCAAUAUGAUGGCCGAAAAUUUGACAAUUUUGGCUUUGGAACCGACACUGGGGUUACGUCCUCUGCUGAUGUGGAUUCAGGUUCUGGCCAUCAUCAGAGUGCUGAAGAGCAGGAAGUGGCUAGUCUAACUACUCUUCAUAUAGAUUCUGAAACAAGCAGUCUUAAUCAGCAAGCUUUCUCUGCUGAAGUUGCAACUAUUACUGGUAAAGUUAUUCAUGGGAAUGUGUUUCUUAAAUGUAUUUUUUAAGCCUUCAAAGAAUUUGAUUAAAAUUUUGAGAGAUUUUAAGUAUUACUUAUUACUAUUUAAGUAUAUUUUUUCAUUCAUCUUUAUGUAACAAUGAAGGGGAGAAAAGACAUUAGUUUCUUGACCUGAGGUCCACUGGGUUAAGCUUCAGAGGACUCUGUGAACUUGUAGUAUUUUAUGCAAUAUUUUGUAUAUAUAUGCACUAGAACAUUUUCUGCAGGAUUAAAAAAAAAUUUUAAUGGGAACAUAAUAGAUGUAUAUGUAUAUGGAGUACAUGAGAUAGUUGGAGUGAUUUUUAAAAUAAAUAAAAAAGUUAAAAGUA